GAUGAACGCUGGCGGCGUGCCUAAUACAUGCAAGUCGAACGCUGAAGGAGGAGCUUGCUCUUUCCGGAUGAGUUGCGAACGGGUGAGUAACGCGUAGGUAACCUGCCUGGUAGCGGGGGAUAACUAUUGGAAACGAUAGCUAAUACCGCAUAACAGUAGAUAUUGCAUGAUAUUUGCUUGAAAGGGGCAAUUGCUCCACUACCAGAUGGACCUGCGUUGUAUUAGCUAGUUGGUGAGGUAACGGCUCACCAAGGCGAAGAUACAUAGCCGAACUGAGAGGGUGAUCGGCCAAACUGGGACCGGGAAACGGCCCAGAACCCUACGGGGGGCAGCAGUAGGGAAUCUUUGGCAAUGGACGGAAGUCUGAACGGGCAACGCCGCGUGAGUGAAGAAGGUUCUCGGAUCGGAAAGCUCUGUUGUAAGAGAAGAAAGAGUGUGAGAGUGGAAAGUUCACACUGUGACGGUAUCUAACCAGAAAGGGACGGCUAACUACGUG
This 496-nucleotide ribosomal RNA is filed under the name uncultured bacterium. RNAcentral's name for it is "partial 16S ribosomal RNA". It matches the Rfam family "Bacterial small subunit ribosomal RNA", at positions 28 to 507 of the family's 1533-position model. The record is from RNAcentral.